RNAcentral lists this ribosomal RNA (497 nucleotides) under uncultured bacterium. RNAcentral describes it as "partial 16S ribosomal RNA". It matches the Rfam family "Bacterial small subunit ribosomal RNA", at positions 38 to 507 of the family's 1533-position model. The record is from RNAcentral.
GGGGGGGGGGGGGGGGGGGGGGGGUGGGGGGAGGUCGAGGGGGGGGGCGGGGAGGUUGCUGCUGUGGUUGUGGCGGCGGGCGGGGGAGUAACCAGUGGAUAACCUACCUAUACGACUGUGAUAGCUGCGGGCAACCUGAGCUCAUACCUGAUAAUAUUUUGAACCGCCUGGUUCAAAAGUGAAAGACGUUCUUGCUGUCACUUAUAGAUGGAUCCGCGCUGCAUUAGCUAGUUGGUAAGGUAACGUCUUACCAAGGCAACGAUGCAUCGCCGACCUGAGAGGGUGAUCGGCCACACUGGAACUGAGACACGGUCCAGACUCCUCAGGGAGGCAGCAGUAGGGAAUCUUCCGCAAUGGGCGAAAGCCUGAAGGAGCAACGCCGCGUGAGUGAUGAAGGUCUUCGGAUCGUAAAACUCUGUUAUUAGGGAAGAACAUAUGUGUAAGUAACUGUGCACAUCUUGACGGUACCUAAUCAGAAAGACACGGCUAACUACGUG